RNAcentral lists this ribosomal RNA (253 nucleotides) under uncultured bacterium. RNAcentral's name for it is "partial 16S ribosomal RNA". It matches the Rfam family "Bacterial small subunit ribosomal RNA", at positions 524 to 776 of the family's 1533-position model. The record is from RNAcentral.
UACGUAGGUGGCAAGCGUUGUCCGGAUUUACUGGGCGUAAAGGGCGUGCAGGCGGUUUGUUAAGUCUAGGGUGAAAGCUCCCGGCUUAACUGGGAGAGGUCCUUGGAUACUGGCGAACUUGAGGGAUGCAGAGGAAAGUGGAAUUCCCGGUGUAGUGGUGAUAUGCGUAGAUAUCGGGAGGAACACCAGUGGCGAAGGCGGCUUUCUGGGCAUUUCCUGACGCUGAGACGCGAAAGCGUGGGGAGCGAACCGG